This 208-nucleotide unclassified non-coding RNA is filed under the name Hevea brasiliensis (rubber tree). Lineage: Eukaryota; Viridiplantae; Streptophyta; Magnoliopsida; Malpighiales; Euphorbiaceae. The record is from RNAcentral.
GACCAUGCUUACCAGUCCACUAGUUACCCGUUUAGUUCAUUCCAUUUCAAGGUAGGUUUAUGAAAAUCAGGGUUCAUGAGUGAAACAAACCAGACCAAGCUCCGGUUUUUGAUUAAAUUAGUUUGAUUUUCAAAACCAUGAUUAAAAUAUACAACACAUUUGGUGCAUAAAUAUUAAUUUGCUAAUUCCUAAUUCUAAAGCUAAAAAA